CCUCCUUUCUAAGGAGCACCAUUUACAUGCCCUGAUCCAGGGUUUCCCCCAUCCCCGUACAAAUUGCGGGAUGAAGGUGGUUGGGAUUGUCGCCGGCGCCUGUAGUGGGCUGCUUCGGCGGGUGCAUAUGACAACAAACGCUGAUCAGCUGGGAUGACACGUUGAUCGAAUGAAUUGCCAGACACACUGUUGGGUCCUGAGACAACAGGCCCGUUCGCUCCCCUCCUCGUGUGGGGGUGGGAGACGCCCCGGUUGCGGGGUGGGGGUUGUUGUUGCCUCACCGGUUUUGGUGGUGGGGUGUGGUGUUUGAUUCGUGGAUAGUGGUUGC
This 328-nucleotide unclassified non-coding RNA is filed under the name Mycobacterium sp. 2FBB05. The record is from RNAcentral. Lineage: Bacteria; Bacillati; Actinomycetota; Actinomycetes; Mycobacteriales; Mycobacteriaceae.